CACUCCAACCCCUGUGACAUACCACUUGUUGCCUCGGCGGAUCAGCCCGCUCCCGGUAAAACGGGACGGCCCGCCAGAGGACCCCUAAACUCUGUUUCUAUAUGUAACUUCUGAGUAAAACCAUAAAUAAAUCAAAACUUUCAACAACGGAUCUCUUGGUUCUGGCAUCGAUGAAGAACGCAGCAAAAUGCGAUAAGUAAUGUGAAUUGCAGAAUUCAGUGAAUCAUCGAAUCUUUGAACGCACAUUGCGCCCGCCAGUAUUCUGGCGGGCAUGCCUGUUCGAGCGUCAUUUCAACCCUCAAGCACAGCUUGGUGUUGGGACUCGCGUUAAUUCGCGUUCCUCAAAUUGAUUGGCGGUCACGUCGAGCUUCCAUAGCGUAGUAGUAAAACCCUCGUUACUGGUAAUCGUCGCGGCCACGCCGUUAAACCCCAACUUCUGAAUGUUGACCUCGGAUCAGGUAGGAAUACCCGCUGAACUUAAGCAUAUCAAUAGGCGGAGGAA
RNAcentral lists this ribosomal RNA (502 nucleotides) under Fusarium oxysporum. Its description in RNAcentral is "eukaryotic LSU rRNA". The stretch from base 136 to 289 matches the Rfam family "5.8S ribosomal RNA". The record is from RNAcentral. Lineage: Eukaryota; Fungi; Ascomycota; Sordariomycetes; Hypocreales; Nectriaceae.